Molecule: ribosomal RNA, 729 nt
Filed under: uncultured eukaryote
Lineage: Eukaryota
Description: SSU rRNA
Rfam family: Eukaryotic small subunit ribosomal RNA
Source: RNAcentral
CGGGUGCACUGAUCCGGCCGGGCCUUUCCCUCUGUGGAACCCCAUGGCCUUCACUGGCUGUGCGGGGGAAACAGGACUUUUACUGUGAAAAAAUUAGAGUGCUCCAGGCAGGCCUAUGCUCGAAUACAUUAGCAUGGAAUAAUAGAAUAGGACGCGUGGUUCUAUUUUGUUGGUUUCUAGGACCGCCGUAAUGAUUAAUAGGGACAGUCGGGGGCAUCAGUAUUCAAUUGUCAGAGGUGAAAUUCUUGGAUCUAUUGAAGACUAACUACUGCGAAAGCAUUUGCCAAGGAUGUUUUCAUUGAUAAGGAACGAAAGUUAGGGGAUCGAAGACGAUCAGAUACCGUCGUAGUCUUAACUAUAAACUAUGCCGACUAGGGAUCGGACGAUGUUAUUUCUUGACGCGUUCGGCACCUUUCGAGAAAUCAAAGUGCUUGGGCUCCAGGGGGAGUAUGGUCGCAAGGCUGAAACUUAAAGAAAUUGACGGAAGGGCACCACCAGGGGUGGAGCCUGCGGCUUAAUUUGACUCAACACGGGGAAACUCACCAGGUCCAGACACAAUGAGGAUUGACAGAUUGAGAGCUCUUUCUUGAUUUUGUGGGUGGUGGUGCAUGGCCGUUCUUAGUUGGUGGAGUGAUUUGUCUGCUUAAUUGCGAUAACGAACGAGACCUUAACCUGCUAAAUAGCCAGUAUUGCUUUGGCAGUACGUUGGCUUCUUAGAGGGACUAUCGG